This 1049-nucleotide long non-coding RNA is filed under the name Olea europaea subsp. europaea. Lineage: Eukaryota; Viridiplantae; Streptophyta; Magnoliopsida; Lamiales; Oleaceae. The record is from RNAcentral.
CUCUAAAAUAACGAUAUUUGAUAGUCUUUUAGCAAAAUAUAUUCUAAAUUGUUGUGUCUUAUGUUUAAUAGGUGAAUUUUCAUGGAUUAAAAGGAAGUGAAGGAAAGAAGAAAAAAUUGGGCGAAAAUGGCAAUAUCUAAAGUGCAUGGAUUAAAGUGGCCAUUGAAAGAAAAUUGGGAGCUUGGAAACAAAUACCACCAUAAUGAGCCUCAAGUUUAAGCUGGACUUGGACUGCCGGUACUUUAAUUAAAAUGUGCUGGACUCUUGAGGGAAGAAAAACACACGUAGCUUGGCAAAUUGGAGAGCAAUUAGAAUCCUUUUGAAAGUCAAACAUUGUAGGCUAGGUUACCACUAAUAUAUAUACACAUGCUGGAAUAUAUAAAAAGGAGGAGGAGGAUAGUUACAAAUUAAUUGGGAACGGCAGCUAGAAGGAGAAUUAUACAUGCCAACUGGGGAAAAUUAUGCCCACUGCAGAAUUAAAUAUAUAUACAAGUGAGGGAAUUAAUAGGGCUACAUAUUGCUGAAGAUUAUAUAAUUACCCACAAAAAGGCAGAAUUGAUACAGAUUCAAACACAAAAUUGCUGCUGUUUUUAAAUUACAUUCACAUGAGAGAAAGUCGAAGAUACACGAGCUGCCUACUGCUAGGGAAUUAAAAAAGGGAAUUACGCAGGCAGAAAUCAAGAGAUACGAAGACGGCAAACACGAGGAAGACCCGGACUAUUGGAAUUAAUUACGUUUCGUCUAUUUCUCGAUGAAGCCGUUCUAUUUUUAUGCGUUUAAUUCCAACAUUAUGUUAGGCUAAUUUGUUUAAUGUAUUGGAUGAGACGAACCCUAUUGUCUAUUUAUUUCUAAUUCAAGACAAGUAAUCUAGUUUAAUUCUUGAGUUUGUUGAUUAAUUUUGCAUUUUCAUUGCACUAUUACAUUGUUUGGCCAUCAAUUAAAUAGUUAGUUGGUUGUUGUAGUGUAGGAAUACUCACAACGAGUUUAGAAUGCGAUAAAAUUAACAUGUAUAGUUAGAAUUAUGAAUAAUCUCUUUCACACAUGCAAUC